GUGACUAAUUGCAGUUCGUAAGACACGUGACAGAUGUGGUCAGGUGACUAAUUGCAGUUCGUAAGACACGUGACUGAUGUGGUCAGGUGACUGAUGCAGUGAAUCUCCAAGCUUUCCCGUGGGGGGGGGGGGGAUG
Long non-coding RNA from Nematostella vectensis (starlet sea anemone), 136 nucleotides. RefSeq lists it as uncharacterized. Lineage: Eukaryota; Metazoa; Cnidaria; Anthozoa; Actiniaria; Edwardsiidae. The record is from RefSeq and is a predicted model, not a curated record. The transcript is spliced from 2 exons.